Molecule: ribosomal RNA, 239 nt
Filed under: Salmonella enterica
Lineage: Bacteria; Pseudomonadati; Pseudomonadota; Gammaproteobacteria; Enterobacterales; Enterobacteriaceae
Also listed under: 2 other names
Description: partial 16S ribosomal RNA
Rfam family: Bacterial small subunit ribosomal RNA
Source: RNAcentral
AAAUUGAAGAGUUUGAUCAUGGCUCAGAUUGAACGCUGGCGGCAGGCCUAACACAUGCAAGUCGAACGGUAACAGGAAGCAGCUUGCUGCUUCGCUGACGAGUGGCGGACGGGUGAGUAAUGUCUGGGAAACUGCCUGAUGGAGGGGGAUAACUACUGGAAACGGUGGCUAAUACCGCAUAACGUCGCAAGACCAAAGAGGGGGAUCUUCGGGCCUCUUGCCAUCAGAUGUGCCCAGAU